AAAUGAAUUGACGGGGGCCCGCACAAGCGGUGGAGCAUGUGGUUUAAUUCGAUGAUACGCGAGGAACCUUACCAGGGCUUGAAUGCGGCACGACAGGGGCGGAGACGCCCCCUCCCUCGGGCGUGCCGCAAGGUGCUGCAUGGUUGUCGUCAGCUCGUGCCGUGAGGUGUCAGGUUAAGUCCUAUAACGAGCGCAACCCCUGUUGUUAGUUACCAGCGAGUGGAGUCGGGGACUCUAGCAAGACUGCCGGUGCAAACCGCGAGGAAGGCGGGGACGACGUCAAAUCAUCACGGCCCUUACGCCCUGGGCGACACACGUGCUACAAUGGCCGGCACAGAGAGCUGCCACCCCGCGAGGGGGAGCGAAUCUACAAAACCGGUCACAGUUCGGAUCGGGGCCUGCAACCCGGCCCCGUGAAGCUGGAAUCGCUAGUAAUCGGAUAUCAGCCAUGAUCCGGUGAAUACGUUCCCGGGCCUUGCACACACCGCCCGU
This 492-nucleotide ribosomal RNA is filed under the name uncultured bacterium. RNAcentral describes it as "bacterial SSU rRNA". It matches the Rfam family "Bacterial small subunit ribosomal RNA", at positions 903 to 1397 of the family's 1533-position model. The record is from RNAcentral.